AGUGAACGCUGGCGGUAGGCCUAACACAUGCAAGUCGAACGGCAGCACAGUAAGAGCUUGCUCUUACGGGUGGCGAGUGGCGGACGAGUGAGGAAUACAUCGGAAUCUACUUUUUCGUGGGGGAUAACGUAGGGAAACUUACGCUAAUACCGCAUACGACCUACGGGUGAAAGCAGGGGAUCUUCGGACCUUGCGCGAUUGAAUGAGUCGAUGUCGGAUUAGCUAGUUGGCGGGGUAAAGGCCCACCAAGGCGACGAUCCGUAGCUGGUCUGAGAGGAUGAUCAGCCACACUGGAACUGAGACACGGUCCAGACUCCUACGGGAGGCAGCAGUGGGGAAUAUUGGACAAUGGGCGCAAGCCUGAUCCAGCCAUACCGCGUGGGUGAAGAAGGCCUUCGGGUUGUAAAGCCCUUUUGUUGGGAAAGAAAAGCAGCAGGUUAAUACCCCGCUGUUCUGACGGUACCCAAAGAAUAAGCACCGGCUAACUUCGUG
RNAcentral lists this ribosomal RNA (492 nucleotides) under uncultured bacterium. Its description in RNAcentral is "partial 16S ribosomal RNA". It matches the Rfam family "Bacterial small subunit ribosomal RNA", at positions 29 to 507 of the family's 1533-position model. The record is from RNAcentral.